RNAcentral lists this ribosomal RNA (429 nucleotides) under Chloroflexota bacterium. RNAcentral's name for it is "Chloroflexi bacterium partial 16S ribosomal RNA". It matches the Rfam family "Bacterial small subunit ribosomal RNA", at positions 355 to 776 of the family's 1533-position model. The record is from RNAcentral. Lineage: Bacteria; Bacillati; Chloroflexota.
UGGGGAAUAUUGCACAAUGGGCGCAAGCCUGAUGCAGCCAUGCCGCGUGUGUGAAGAAGGCCUUCGGGUUGUAAAGUACUUUCAGCGGGGAGGAAGGCGUUAAGGUUAAUAACCUUGGCGAUUGACGUUACCCGCAGAAGAAGCACCGGCUAACUCCGUGCCAGCAGCCGCGGUAAUACGGAGGGUGCAAGCGUUAAUCGGAAUUACUGGGCGUAAAGCGUACGCAGGCGGUCUGUCAAGUCGGAUGUGAAAUCCCCGGGCUCAACCUGGGAACUGCAUUCGAAACUGGCAGGCUAGAGUCUUGUAGAGGGGGGUAGAAUUCCAGGUGUAGCGGUGAAAUGCGUAGAGAUCUGGAGGAAUACCGGUGGCGAAGGCGGCCCCCUGGACAAAGACUGACGCUCAGGUGCGAAAGCGUGGGGAGCAAACAGG